Molecule: long non-coding RNA, 486 nt
Filed under: Cyanistes caeruleus (blue tit)
Lineage: Eukaryota; Metazoa; Chordata; Aves; Passeriformes; Paridae
Description: lncRNA (ENSCCEG00000018060.1)
Source: RNAcentral
CUUCCCAGUAAGCUUCUGCUAGUAUUUAGGUACUAGUGCAGCCUAGGCCCCUUUUCUCAGGGAUAGCCUAACAUCUGACCGCACCCUCUUUGCUUUUUAAAAAAUGCCUUUUCACUCUUUAAGAUAAAUCCUCUAUUAUACAAUCUGCCACUAAUUGUGUGUUAAGACUGUUUUUCUCUCGAAAGCUGACGCAUCCUGCUCUCAACAUGAUCUAGAAAGCAGGCUGUUACAGUACUGGAUUAAUAAAAGGGGCCUUUAUGGUUUGUGAAAGAAUAUCUCUGUGCUUAGGCAGGAAACUUUUUGAUCCACAGCAAAGCCAGACGACAUCUAGGUGUCUUUUACAAUAUGUUCUGCUCCAGCCAGUGAAUUUUCUUCAACUGGCCAGGUAAGCAAAAUGGUUAUUUAUGCUUAUUAAUGUGCUUAUUUAUAUGUCAUAUUUUUAUUUUUUUUUUAGAAAAAUAUUUUCCAGACAUUUGACAACUAAUU